UUCGAUUUAAGAUUUAAGUAUUAAAAUUUUUUAUUAAAAAUUGCAUUUGAGAAAUAAAAUAUUUAUUUUAAACAUGAUAUUAUAAAAUAAAAAAACAUUUAAAUGAUGUUUAGAUUCAUUAAUAUUAUGAUAUUUCAAUAAAAAUAUUUAAAAAAAUAAUUUAUUGUAACUCAUUAUUAAUAUUUUGAUAUAUAAAAUAUAAAAAAACACAUAGUACUAAUUUGGGAAAAGUCUCCAAGAGUGCUUUGCCGAGAGUCCUAGUGAAGGUAGUAACUUCUGCGACUUGGGAUGGGGGAAAGUGGUGGAGACGAUAAAGAGCAAAGGGACGAGAUUUCCCUCUUAACUGAAGAACUCAUCCAAUUAUCUGUCAAAGGAUUGAAGGUAGUUCCGAAUGAGAAACCAACCCUGAUUUGUACAAUAUGGACUAAGAAGUUUUAUAAUCCGGAAAGUUUUAGGACACAGAUUAAGAGUUUGUGGAAAACAAAAAAGAAGUUUGAGAUUCAAAUAGCAAGACAAAACCUAUUUUUGAUAGCGUUCGAGAUGGAAGAGGAUUUGGAGUUGAUCAUGGAAGGAAGACCAUGGCUAUUUCGGAAGAGUCUAAUACUAUUUGACAGGAUUACUCAAUUGGUGGAAAGAUCACAGAUUCAGCUCAAUUCCUCACCGGUCUGGCUAAAGGUAGGUCCACGUUUACCAAAAUUUGACAAAAAAGAUUUAUUACAUGCCAUAGGUGUCACUUUUGGAGGGAUAAUCAGAUCUAAAAUCAACGGAGAAUGGUGUCACCUAAAAAUCAAUCUCGAUGUGCAGAAACCCCUUCGAAAAGGUAUUUUUGUCUCAGUGGAUAAUAGGAAUAAAUGGUAGAUUUCUUUUAAAUAUGAGAAAUUACCAACUUUUUACUUCGGAUGUGGGAAGAUGGGGCAUGGACUCUCAGGUUGUAAUUCACUGAAUUCUGCAGAAAAAAUAAAAAUUAAAGAAGAUCCCCCAUACACGAUGGCACUAAGAGCAGAAUCAAACUUAGUUGGAAAAUAAAAUAUUAAAUUAAAUGUUUUUUCAAAGAAGGAUAGGGUUCAAUGUUUUUAUACAGGUGGUUCUGAGCUAGAAUUGAUUGAAGAUGAAAUAGCCAGAGAAGCAAAUAAUUGGGUGGGGAUGACGCACGGGGAACUACAAGUGAACGACAAAAAGAAGGAGAUGAAGAAGCAGGAGAAAGAAGAUACAAUUAUGAUUGAUGAACGGGUGGUUGAUAAUAGGUGAAGUCAGGAUAUUAAUUUAAAUUCAGUUAAGAAGACAAGUUGGCGAAGAGUUAAUCUAGUUCAAAUGUUGGCAAAGCAAAAGGAUGAAAAUUGUAACAAGAAGAGGAAAGCUACUAAAGGAAUACUAGAGACUUGUUAUAUAGAAGUUGAAUAUGGAGACAGAACCAAAAGGCUGAAAAAAGACAGAGAAAAGGAACAAGGAGAAACGUUAUUAGAAAAAGAUGGGAAACCCUAUGCAACAGAGUAAUGCUAAACAACUUAUGGGAUCAACAGCUGCCAAGAGGCAAGCCGACCGAACGUAAUGAAAAUCAUUACUUAGAAUGUUCGUGGAUUGGGGAGUCCACGAACAGUUAGAAGGCUGCGUUACUUUCUAAAGCAGCAAAAUCCCCAAAUGGUCUUCUUAAUGGAGACAAAAAUAAAUAAGCAAUGUAUGGAAAAAGUUAGAAGAAGCUGUGGUUUUCAGAAUGGAAUUGACGUUGAUGCAGAAGGUUCCCGAGAUGGCUUAUGCUUAGCAUGGAAAGAAGAUAUAACGGUUACUUUAAUGAGUUUUUCCAAGAAUCAUAUUGAUGCAAUGAUUAUGGAAGAAACUGGUAACGAAGAAUGGAGAUUUACAGGAUUUUAUGGCUCCCCGUAUGUCAAUUUCAAGAAUGAUUCCUAGAAUUUGCUACGAAAAUUGGGACAAGAUCAGAGACACCCAUUGCUUGUUAGUGGAGAUUUUAAUGAAAUUAUGUAUUCCUUCCAGAAAAAAGGAGGAUUACCAAGAGAUGAAAGACGGAUGGAGGUUUUUAGAGAAACCCUUGAAGAAUGCCAAUUAGAAGAUUUAGGGUUUGCAGGGGCUUGGUUCACAUAGGAAAGGGGAAAUCUGCCAGAAACAAAUGUCAAAGAAAGAUUGGAUAGAUGAGUGGCUAAUGACAAGUGGAGGAAUCUCUUUCCAACGGGUAACAUUCAUCACCUACCUCAUUCAAUGUCUGAUCAUUGUCCACUGCUUUUUAAUACAAAAAUUGAAAAUCGCAAUGUGAGAAGCCCAAGUUUUAAAUUUGAGGCAUGGUGGACCAUGGAAGAGUCUCUUGAAGGAGAAAUUAAAGCAUCUUGGGAAUCAUCCGUAGAUAAUUUACUGGAGAAACUGGAAAAACUACAAUCAAAUUUAAAAAAAUGGGCAAGAGUAAUCAAAAAAGGGCGAGAAGGGUUGAAGAAAAGGCUCACAAAGAAAUUGGAGAUACUGAUGGAGGAAGAAAGAAAUGAUGACAUAAUGGCAAAAAUUAUUGAUACGAAGGUGCACCUAAACUUAGAAAUUGAUAAAGACGAAAGGUAUUGAGAACAAAGGGCAAGGGCAAAUUGGCUCAUAGUAGGGGACAAGAACACAACUUUUUUUUCAUAAGCAAGCCACAUCUCGUCGAAAAAAACCACAAUUUCAGGACUGGAAUUAGACAGAGGAGGGGAGGUGACAGAAGAAUGUAAGAUCAUGACUACACUAUUCUUUUAGGAGUUAUUUUCAUCAAAAGGAGUAGGUGAGUUAUCUCACCUCUUAACAAGUAUUGAAGGAAAAAUUACGCCAGAUAUGAAUGAAGACUUAAUGGAAAAAUUUACGGAAGAAGAAGUGUAUUUUGCCUUGAAAGGAAUGGGGCCAACUAAAGCACCAGGACCUGAUGGAUUUCCAACACUCUUCUUUCAACAAUAUUGGCAUAUAAUAGGUAAAGAAGUUAUCACUUUCUGUCUGAAAAUUUUAAACAGUGACAAAAAUUUGGGCCCUUUCAAUUCUACUGAUAUUGUAUUGAUCCCAAAAACUCAUAAUCCCAAGAAUAUAGCAAAAUUCAGACCUAUUAGCUUAUGUACUAUUAUUUAUAAAAUUGUGGCUUAAUAAUAGUUAAUAGACUUCAAGGGGUUAUUGGGCGAUGUAUUGAUUUGGCGCAGAGUGCUUUCAUCCCAAGAAAGCUAAUUUCUGAUAACAUCCUGCUUGCAUACGAGAUCUUACACACCCUUAAACGAAAACGUACAGGUAAGAAAGGUUUUAUGACAGUUAAGCUUGAUAUGAGCAAAGCCUAUGAUAAGAUUGAGUGGAGAUUUCUUAAGGAAGUCAUGCUGCGAAUGGGUUUUGCAAAAGAAUGGGUCAAUUUAAUUAUGAAAUGUAUUACUAUAGCAUCUUUUGCAGUCAAUAUUAAUGGAAAAAGGGGACGAAUCUUUCAAUCUUCUAGACGGCUACGAUAAGGUAACCCCCUUAGUCCAUUCUUAUUUCUACUAUGUAGCGAAAGGAUUUCAGCAUUAAUGAGAUUGGCAUUGAAAGACGGCUGGAUAAAAGGAGUUAAGGCAAGCAGGAAAGGACCAGGGAUUUCACAUCUACUAUUUGCAGAUGAUUGUAUUCUGUUCGGAGAAGCAACUAAUAAAGGAGUGAGGGUGCUAAAAGAGAUUCUUAAGGAAUAUGAAGACUGUUCGGGUUAAUGUGUUAAUUUCAAAAAAUCUACGAUUUUCUUCAAUACGAAUACAUCAGUCGAUGACAGAGGUGAAGUAUCAGGAAGUUUAGGUAUAAGAGGGUCAACAGACAUGGAGAAGUAUUUAGGCCUUCCUAAUGUGGUUGGAAGACGAAAAAAGGAGGUGUUCCAAUAUCUAAAAGGUAAAGUUGAUUCUAGAAUUAAAGGUUUGAGCACCAGAUUGUUAUCACAAAGAGGCAAGGAAGUUUUCAUUAAAUCCAUAUUUCAGGCAAUUCUGACUUAUGCUAUGUCAUGUUUUUUUCUCCCUAACCCCCUAAGUGACGAAUUGGAAAAGACCUUCGCUACUUUCUAGUGGAAAAAGAAGUAAGGAAAAAGAGGAAUUCACUGGUGUAAGUGGCAGAAUAUGUGUCGAGCUAAAGAAGGAGGUAUAGGCUUCAGGAGCAUGGCAAAGUUUAAUAUCUCCUUAUUAGCUAAACAAGGCUAGAGAAUCCUAAAUAAUCCAAAUUCGUUAAUUGCAAGGUUGUUAAAGGCUAAAUAUUUUCCAGAAACGGAUUUCCUAAAUUCGUAUCUUGGGAACAACAGUUCUUUUGCGUGGAAGAGUAUAUGGGCAACUAGAGGUAUUCUGUCAGACAGAAACUGUUGGAAAAUGGGGAGGGGUAUUGAAAUCUCGAUCAUUAAUGAUAGUUGGAUACCAGAUUAUUCCAGAUUAUCAUCUUACUUUACCAAUUAUUCCAAAUUAUCGCCUCACUUUACCAAUUUUUAUGAAUAUAAAGUUGCAGAUUUAAUUGAUGACAGAAACAAAAAAUGGAAAAAAGAAUUGACCGAAGCUACCUUCCCUGCGGAGAUAUCUGAGAAAAUCUUCUGCAUCCUGUUAGCUAAAGAGCCCCACGAUGAUUUUCUGGUCUGGAGGGGAGAGUCUUCAAGAGAAUUCACAGUACGAAGUGCCUAUAAACUAUUACAGAGCUUUGAAAAUGAUCCUAGAGCUUAUGCUUUACAAAAUGAAUCUAGGAAUUUUUAUUGGAAUCUAUGGCUCCUAAAUCUACCUCCUAAGUUAAAAAUUAUAGUCUGGAAAAUAUCAUGGAACUAUAGUCCAACUCGGGUCAACUUGAACUACAGAAGGCUUUCAAACAACGUGACGUGCGUUGGGUGUGGCAGAGCAGCAGAAUCCACAAAUCAUAUAUUUCGCGAAUGUCCUAUGGCAAGAACAGUAUGGGAAGAGUUAUUAUUCUUAGAGGUAUUACAAGCUCCUUAUAUGGAUUUUCUACAGUGGCUCACCUGGGUUUUUGAAAAGAACUCCCCCAAUCAACGACAGAUUUUUUGCUAUGCUCUUUGGGCAAUAUGGGGAGAAAGGAAUAAGAGAGUGCAUGAAAAGGCUAAUAGAUCUGGGAAAGAGAUAGCAUUUUUUUAUAAAGAGAUAUAUUAGUGAACUGAAUGAGAUUGAAGCAAAAGUACCACAGGUUAAAAUAGGAAGCAGAGAGUGGAAACACCCACCGGAUCAGUUUGUAAAGGUCAACUUUGAUGUAGCCUAUGAUGGGAACCUACGGCAAUUGGCAGCGGGAAUUGUGGCCAGGGAUAGCGAAGGAAAUACUCUUUUAUCAUGUACAGUGAUUCAUCAUCAAGUCGCAUCAGCUUUCGCUGUAGAAGCAAUAGCUUGCCGGAUAGCAACUCAAAUAGGCAGGGACAUGCAAUAGCCAAACAUUAUUAUUGAAGGGGAUGCAUUAUCAAUUAUAAAGAAGUGCAAACUAAAAAGUUAUGAUAAAUCUAUGAUCGGAGCAUAUAUCCAAGAUAUACAUCAGCUACUGGAAAAAUCUGGAAAAUGCUAUUUUGAGAACAUUCCCAGAGAAGCGAACAGCUUGGCACAUAAACUAGCGACGGAGACAUUAAAGAAAAAAGAAGAGUCUUACCUGAUUGGAAGAGUCCCGGGGUAUGCUGAGAACCUGGAAGAAACUGAAAAAAGGGCAGGAACAAAUGUGGAGAAGAAAUGAAAGGUUAUAGAAAAAAGCAGCUGUAUAGUGGAAAUUCAAAGGCGUGGUGGACAAGGCUUCAUUGAAAUCUGGAAACGUCUCAUUGAUGAAAUGAAAGAUGAUUUUGAAAGAGGGAAAUGGAUUUUUCUGAUUGGGCAAGAUAUGAUGGCAUUUAUUAGGUUCUAAAGGAUUCUGAUUUUUAUGUUUUUUAGGGCUGUUUUCUAGUUUCUUUUAAAGAUUUGGACUAUAGGUUUUUGCUUUGUUCUUCGGGCCAAAACUUGCAUCUGGUUUUAGCCUGAGUCUUUUGUGUUUUUCAUUUUUAAGUUAAUAAAAGCCCAAUCUGAAUUAGUUUCAAAAACA
Molecule: long non-coding RNA, 5997 nt
Filed under: Gossypium barbadense (sea-island cotton)
Lineage: Eukaryota; Viridiplantae; Streptophyta; Magnoliopsida; Malvales; Malvaceae
Description: long non-coding RNA (GBAR_LNC022310)
Source: RNAcentral